UUGGCCCUGCAGUUUGAUGGAGCCGUUGGUUUCAAACAGGGGCCUAAAGAAAUGUCUUCCUAUAGUCUAUUGGCCAUUUCAGAACGUUGGAGAUGUUAUGGUCAAUUCCUUCAAAAGAAACAUCU
RNAcentral lists this small nucleolar RNA (125 nucleotides) under Dasypus novemcinctus (nine-banded armadillo). The record is from RNAcentral. Lineage: Eukaryota; Metazoa; Chordata; Mammalia; Cingulata; Dasypodidae.